CUGGAAUAAGAAUGCGACCGCCAAAGGGUUCAGCCUUGGGCAUUUCCAGGCCUCUCUUCUUCCUGUGUCUUCGGUCAGGACACCCCAAUCAGGGCACUUCCUCCACUUGUGUCUCUCGGGUAGACUGUCCUCCCGAACCUUCUGUAUCUCUCUAAAUCUCACACACCCUCCAGGCUCAGCUCAAGAUCCCUGCCUGAAGCUUUCUCCCAGUCUUCUAACUCAUUGACCCUCCCACUGGAACAACACUGAGACUUUCCAAGAGGGUGAGAAUGGUUUUCUAAAGCCAUCAAUCUUCACGUGUGUACUUUCUUCAAGAUGAUGUGCCUGUGAACGUGUCCCUGUCACGCUGCUUCUCAGAACUACUGCCCCCUUCAUACCCACCUUUAUAAGAGAAAGGCCAGCCUUCACCCUUCUAGAAUUCUAACCAUGUUGCCUGGAUUCAGGAUGAAAAAGGUGCUCUGGGGCAUCGAGCAAGACAUGGUCCAUGGAUGAAAACCAUUGAAGGCCUCCAUAAUGAUCUUGUAUCUCACUUUGGAAUAGAGCUUCUAUUAUCUUGGGACCUCAGCCAAAGCUAAGUAAUUUUAAUAUCUUUGUGUGUGUCUGUGCACUUGUGCAUGUGCACACGCACACACGUCUGAUGACACACUGCAAAUUGCUAGCAGUGCUAACUCCCAAGGUGGGAAAAUGAGCAGUGAGUGGUCAAAAGGGACUUCAACUUUAUCUGUAUUGCUUCAAUUUUUAUAGUGACAAUAUAUCCAUGUAUUACUUGUGUAAUUAAAAAGAAAUGAAAUUAAAUAUACUCUAGCGUGUGCUGGAUGAGUUUCUGCAACUUAAUUUCCAUCUGCCAAUGAAAUAAAUCUGAAACCUUUUAUUUGGGUUAAUAGCCCAAUUUGAUGUGUUGCUCUGUUGGAAGAAAACCAAAUUGUGAGGCGCUUUUCGGGGUUCUGUGUUGCAGAUUGCUCUCACGGUCUCAUGGUGUUUAUUCCUUUCAGGUACGUACUUAGGGUGUAAUAUACAUUUGCCCUGGUAAUUUGACUUCCUGGCCCCUGGCCAACCUAAGGAAAUAGAUGGCAAAGCCAGCAAUUCCUGUCUUGCAAACAUGAGAAAAUACAUAGCUACCUGGUCCGUUUCCAGUUGGAGGCAAAAACCCAGAUCCAUCCUCGAGAGAAGGACGCAUUGAUGCUGCAGGAGUAAUAUCUUAGACCACGCACACAUUGAACCAACCAGCGGGGAUCAUAUUUAUUAAGAAAGAGGAGGAGCAACACAGGAGUGAAAAUAGACGCCAGGCCAUGCUGGAAGCUGUGACAUGUGCUGCUGGCAGUGAGGAAUCUCUGAUGUUAUAAAGCUCAAAGGGGAGGAUUGGCCACAAAACACAGAAAAGCUGAGGACACACAAGUCCUGACAGUGGGAGAGAAGCCUCAGCAGAACCUCAGACUAAUUUCAAUCUCGGAAUUCAGAGGGGGUGAUAAGAGUGAGAUCCUGCAUAAGUAAUUAAGUGAAAGAUAACGGGAGACCUGUUCCAUUCCCCAUUUUCAGAGAAGCCAAUGUAGGUGUCUGCCUUAACUAGAAGCCAGGGUUAGGAUUCUCUUAACUUGGAGUGCUUACAGGAACAGAAAGGAACUUUGUUAACUGGAUAAAAGUUAUUAAUCAGCGAGCCAUGCAAAUAUGAUGUGUACUGAUGAGAUAACAGAAGCCUUCCUGCUAAUGUGAGACAUGAGGAAAGUGAGGCACAGUUGUGCCCUGCCCAAGGACACAUGAAAGGACCAGGAGGCAUCUGAAAGCAUCACUCAGACUCUCGAGUCCCACUCUGCCACCAAGCUUACUGGCCUCCCUAGGAUCAGUGGUGUAAUCCCCAGGACUGCACUCCUCGCCACGGUGCUCAUUGGCUUGCAUAAUCAAGGCUUCCUGGUCUUUUGUUGAAGGUUUCACAUGCAGAAGAAGCUUCAUGGACCCAUCCCACAGGAAGGAUUUCCAGUAGGAAGGCCGAGGUGUUACCUGGCAGCUGACUCUCAGUUAUACAUAACCCCCACCUCCGGGACCUGGUGAUCUGACAAAGGAGAAGAUAAAUUCGUGGCAUCUAUGGCUUUCAGUUUACUCAUUUAAUAUUUCCCUGGUGCCUCUAUUAGUCUUGUACCAUCUGUGGGAAGACAGGAGAUGCUGCCUAAAGCAUAUUUCUUUCUGUCCAUGCAAGUGGUGGGGUUCAGGGCAGGCUGCCCCCAAGAAGCAGCUCUGGUGUGCGGACUGUUUCAAGCUGAAGACAGUAAAGGCUCAGAAGACUCAGGAAGAGCAUCCGACCUUCCCCCACAAACCGCCUAAGACUUUAUACAUAGACGGCCUGUUCCAGGAGGGAGCUCAUACCAUCUGAUAGCUAUAGUACGAUGUAAAAUUGGUGUGAUAAAAGGACACCAACAAACCCAUUUUCUGGCCCAGCAAAGCCUGUUUAACAAACAUUUGCAUUCCAUCUCUACGUAAAUUGUCUUCCUCCUCGUUGAAGCCCCAAAUCACUAUACCCAACAUCCUCCUUGCCUGUAGCUGAACAUACUUAAACAGGUAGCCUCGGCCACAUGGCUGAGUUACUCAGUUUCUCCUGGGUUUCUCCCAUGUAUACAUGCUAUUAAACUUUGUUUGAUUUUCUCCUGCUAACCUGCCUCUUUAAUUAUUUGACCAGCCAUAAGAACUUUAAGGAAAAGCGGGGGGAAUUCUGC
This 2705-nucleotide long non-coding RNA is filed under the name Equus caballus (horse). RNAcentral's name for it is "lncRNA (ENSECAG00000047115.1)". The record is from RNAcentral. Lineage: Eukaryota; Metazoa; Chordata; Mammalia; Perissodactyla; Equidae.